This 829-nucleotide ribosomal RNA is filed under the name Parachaetomium subspirilliferum. RNAcentral's name for it is "partial large subunit ribosomal RNA". It matches the Rfam family "Eukaryotic large subunit ribosomal RNA", at positions 75 to 938 of the family's 3401-position model. The record is from RNAcentral. Lineage: Eukaryota; Fungi; Ascomycota; Sordariomycetes; Sordariales; Chaetomiaceae.
UUGCCCUAGUAACGGCGAGUGAAGCGGCAACAGCUCAAAUUUGAAAUCUGGCCUCGGCCCGAGUUGUAAUUUGCAGAGGAAGCUUUAGGCGCGGCACCAUCUGAGUCCCCUGGAACGGGGCGCCAUAGAGGGUGAGAGCCCCGUAUAGAUGGACGCCUAGCCUGUGUAAAGCUCCUUCGACGAGUCGAGUAGUUUGGGAAUGCUGCUCAAAAUGGGAGGUAAAUUUCUUCUAAAGCUAAAUACCGGCCAGAGACCGAUAGCGCACAAGUAGAGUGAUCGAAAGAUGAAAAGCACUUUGAAAAGAGGGUUAAAUAGCACGUGAAAUUGUUGAAAGGGAAGCGCUUGUGACCAGACUUGCGCCGGGCGGAUCAUCCGGUGUUCUCACCGGUGCACUCCGCCCGGCUCAGGCCAGCAUCGGUUCUCGCGGGGGGAUAAAGGCCCUGGGAACGUAGCUCCUCCGGGAGUGUUAUAGCCCAGGGCGCAAUGCCCUCGCGGGGACCGAGGUUCGCGCAUCUGCAAGGAUGCUGGCGUAAUGGUCAUCAGCGACCCGUCUUGAAACACGGACCAAGGAGUCAAGGUUUUGCGCGAGUGUUUGGGUGUAAAACCCGCACGCGUAAUGAAAGUGAACGUAGGUGAGAGCUUCGGCGCAUCAUCGACCGAUCCUGAUGUUUUCGGAUGGAUUUGAGUAGGAGCGUUAAGCCUUGGACCCGAAAGAUGGUGAACUAUGCUUGGAUAGGGUGAAGCCAGAGGAAACUCUGGUGGAGGCUCGCAGCGGUUCUGACGUGCAAAUCGAUCGUCAAAUCUGAGCAUGGGGCGAAAGACUAAUCGA